Molecule: long non-coding RNA, 285 nt
Organism: Chiroxiphia lanceolata (lance-tailed manakin)
Lineage: Eukaryota; Metazoa; Chordata; Aves; Passeriformes; Pipridae
Exons: 3
Source: RefSeq, a predicted model, not a curated record
CAUAUAUGCAACUACCUACAGAAACAUCAGCACACAUGAACCUAAGACAUUUCCGCACAAGGAUAUUUUCCACUCUCUAGUUCAUUAAAUUCAGGUGGGAAGCUGGAUCAUGAAAGUGAUCAAGUUUGUCAUGACUCAUUCAUAAUCUGAACGAUUACGGUGUGCAAUCACCACCAGGACAACGAAAGCAACAUUUUAGGUCAAUUCUCUCUACAGUUUAAGUUGCUUCUUUAUGGCAACAGUACUUCAGUGUCCAUGAUCAAGUCAAGUUUGACCUUUUGAGAA